GGGGGGGGAGAGAAGCCAAGAUGACAUGGAAGAAAGACGUGGAGACUGUGGGCAUUGAUGGCAUACGAGAUACAAGACCGGGUGAAGUGAAGUAGACUAUGCAGAACAUGCAGCAUGGGUGGAUGGAGACUAUUAAAAUGGUUAUACUUAUUUCUCAAACUCAUAAAUAAUUCCGCCAUUGUGAUAUUGUGAUAUACUGAUCGUCUAUAAAUGUUGCGUUGAUUUUCUCUCACUUUAAAUACAGACAACUGGUUUGUUGGAAAACUGUCGGUCGCAAUACACGCUUCCGGAAAGUAUAUCAGUUUCGUGAAGUGACAUUAUAACUUUGCCUAAUGAGUAAUAUGGCUGAUAUCUCAAUCACGAAAAUACAAUGGUUCUAUAUAGCUUAGGUGACGUACUCUCCAGAAGUGUGUAUAUUGUAUCCUACACUCGAACUCGUAUAUUAUGAUUUUAACUGAUUAUCUCGUACAUGAAAGCGCUUUAAAAACUUGCCGGAUAGCGUCGUUUUGUGAUUUCACUGCGCACGACUGACUUCUCGACUCGUACAUGCCAGAGUGACAAUUGUCAGUUACAAACUAAAAUCUGCAUGCAUCAGGCAAUGUACCCUGUUUCUAAGAUCAAUCUGGAAUUGAAAAUGGGGC
Molecule: non-coding RNA, 641 nt
Organism: Paramuricea clavata
Lineage: Eukaryota; Metazoa; Cnidaria; Anthozoa; Malacalcyonacea; Plexauridae
Source: the annotation of a GenBank genome assembly